GGCGCCUUGAUGUAGUCUAGAUAAACAACAAACAAUACCCAUAAAAUUAAGUACAAUCUACCAUCGUUACCCAUAAAUGAGUUUAUCAAAACGCAAGCAGGAACGAACUCUUAAAUCAAUCACAGUAUUUUUCUUUAAAAAAAAAACCGCUUCCAAUAGAAAUAACUAAAAUUCAUGUUAAUCACCUUAUCCAUGAACAACAUAAAAAUUUGCAGCAAGAAUUAUAUCACAAACGAAAAAUGGCAAAUUUUAGGGAAAAAAAAAUAACACAGAUAAGAUCGAUUUUAUCAUCAAUAAUCGAAUUUUCAGGUCUAAGGUAUAUCAACGACGAAUAUGAUCCUAUAGUAGAACUAAAUAUCAACAGGAUCUUCUCAAGCUAAACAAUGACAGGAUCAAGGUCAAAACCAAACGGAAAUUGAAAAAUUAAUAAGCAAAUCUGCGAAAUUUAC
RNAcentral lists this unclassified non-coding RNA (449 nucleotides) under Hevea brasiliensis (rubber tree). The record is from RNAcentral. Lineage: Eukaryota; Viridiplantae; Streptophyta; Magnoliopsida; Malpighiales; Euphorbiaceae.